AAUGGGGGAAACCCUGACGCAGCAACGCCGCGUGGGUGAUGAAGGCCUUCGGGUCGUAAAGCCCUGUCGGGAGGGAAGAAAUGAUUGAGAGCUAAUACCUCUUGGUCCUGACGGUACCUCCGAAGGAAGCACCGGCUAACUCCGUGCCAGCAGCCGCGGUAAUACGGAGGGUGCAAGCGUUGUUCGGAAUUAUUGGGCGUAAAGCGCGUGUAGGCGGUCUUUUAAGUCUGAUGUGAAAGCCCCGGGCUCAACCUGGCAAGUGCAUUGGAAACUGGCAGGCUUGAGUCUGGUAGAGGAAAGUGGAAUUCCUAGUGUAGCGGUGAAAUGCGCAGAUAUUAGGAGGAACACCAGUGGCGAAGGCGGCUUUCUGGGCCACGACUGACGCUGAGACGCGAAAGCUAGGGGAGCAAA
This 411-nucleotide ribosomal RNA is filed under the name uncultured bacterium. RNAcentral's name for it is "bacterial SSU rRNA". It matches the Rfam family "Bacterial small subunit ribosomal RNA", at positions 370 to 772 of the family's 1533-position model. The record is from RNAcentral.